AGUUGUAUCCUGGCUCAGGAUGAACGCUGGCGGUAUGCUUUACACAUGCAAGUCGUACGAGAGUUUUUAACUCAAGUGGCGGACGGGUGAGUAACACGUAAGAAUUUACCUUUAGGAGGGGGAUAACAACUGGAAACGGUUGCUAAUACCCCAUAUGCUUUCGAGUGAAAUGGAUUUUUUCGCCUAGAGAGAAGCUUGCGGCUGAUUAGCUUGUUGGUGAGGUAAUGGCUCACCAAGGCGACGAUCAGUAUCUGGUUUGAGAGGACGAUCAGACACACUGGAACUGAGACACGGUCCAGACUCCUACGGGAGGCAGCAGUGGGGAAUUUUCCGCAAUGGGCGAAAGCCUGACGGAGCAAUACCGCGUGAGGGAUGACGGCCUAUGGGUUGUAAACCUCUUUUUUCAGGGAGGAAGAAAUGACGUGUACCUGAAGAAUAAGCAUCGGCUAACUCCGUGCCAGCAGCCGCGGUAAGACGGAGGAUGCAAGUGUUAUCCGGAAUCACUGGGCGUAAAGCGUCUGUAGGUUGUUUAAUAAGUCAACUGUUAAAUCUCGAGGCCCAACCUCGAAAUCGCAGUCGAAACUAUUAGACUAGAGUAUAGUAGGGGUAAAGGGAAUUUCCAGUGGAGCGGUGAAAUGCGUAGAGAUUGGAAAGAACACCGAUGGCGAAGGCACUUUACUGGGCUAUUACUAACACUCAGAGACGAAAGCUAGGGUAGCAAAUGGGAUUAGAUACCCCAGUAGUCCUAGCUGUAAACAAUGGAUACUAGAUGUUGAACAGAUCGACCUGUGCAGUAUUAAAGCUAACGCGUUAAGUAUCCCGCCUGGGGAAGUAUGCUCGCAAGAGUGAAACUCAAAGGGAAUUGACNGG
RNAcentral lists this ribosomal RNA (870 nucleotides) under uncultured bacterium. RNAcentral's name for it is "bacterial SSU rRNA". It matches the Rfam family "Bacterial small subunit ribosomal RNA", at positions 10 to 917 of the family's 1533-position model. The record is from RNAcentral.